GGGUUGAUCCCACCAGAAGUGCUUCACAAAGCCUUUGCGGGUUAUACAGGAGGGGUUGAGCUGGGUCCUUGAUAAACAUGGUUCAUUCUCUAAGCACUGAAUGACACACCUACUAAUUUCACAUACGGACGUUGCGUUGCAGACGUUCCAUGGGAAGGUUUGUGGGGAAGCUGUUGGUGUUGACGUGCCCAGGACUGCAGGCUGCUGAUGGGACUGGCUGAGGCUCAGUAGGCUCAGCUUUGCGCUCCCCUUCUGCAGUAGACAUGGGCAGAGCUGAGUGUUGGCAUUCGGGGUGGUGGAGGAGUCUCCUGUUGGCAUCAGGGCAGCAAGUCUUUAACCACGGCCCUUCCAUCAGCUCUACGUGGCAGCAGCACUGGGACAGGGUCUUGGCCAGGUGGGAGCUUGCUGUUAAACCUAUAGGAAGCUAAAGCCCAGCGCUGGCAAUGUAUUGUAAGGAGCUUGGCUGGUCCUUGGGGCUUCUGAGAACAUGCUCCUAUUGCAGGCAGACCCAGUCAGGUGGAUGGUGCUCUUUAACCUGAUUUACGUCUUCUGCAGAAGUCAUGGCAAAUUUUUUAGCAGUCUAAAUAUGUGCGGCCACUAAGGAUUUGUAAUAAUAUAAGCUGAUUAUUAAUAUAAGCUGUAGCUUGAAAUGCAUCUCUUCUUGGAGCCAUACCUCAAAUAUAUUCAGCAGAGUGGAGAAGAGGGUGGACAGAGGAGAACUGCUCAUAUCUGACUUGGCGGUAAAUGGAUUUUUCAAGGUUUCUUAUAAAAGAAAUAGCAAGAAAAUGAUUCCAGGCCAAGUCUCCCUUUAGGAGGCUGAUGUACCACCUAAUGUGCUCCCAUUUACAGUGCAGGAUCUUGGACAAAAUGUGAAACAAUUUCACAAUCACCUUCCCGCUGCAUGUGAGCAGGUACCUUCAGUGCAAGGGGAAAUCCUGCCCUGGGACAGCAGCACCAGCACCAGCCUCCAUGCCCAGCACAGCGCUGCAGUGUGAUUCCUCCUGGGAGCACAGCAGGGCCAACCCCACAGUGUGAUGACUGCAUGCAGUGGAGCACAGUGCCAGAAUUCAGGCAUGAAAAGGGUGAGACCCACAUUUGAGCACACACCUCUCCCAGAGCGACAGAUUUCCUAAAUCUCUGCUUUUCAGCCCAACUCCACAGAAGACCGUUCCCACAUCUCCAUCUCUGCUUGGAUGCACGGGCAGAUAUGUGGACUGACAUGCAAACAGCCCCAUCUGAGGAACCAGGUCACAGGGCCGCCCUUUGGAAAGCUCAUCAAAGCAGCUGCUUAAUUAGCUGACAACUAUUGCUGUUUGUGUGAAAGCAGAAUGAGGGCAAAGGCUCACCAGGUGGGAGUGAAGCCCACUGGCUCCAUGCACAUCUGUCAGAUAUAUGGAUGUGUGAGCCGUGAUGGGGGGCCUGCUUGAGCCAGGAGUCAGAAUUAUUAAGAUUGGAAAGAUCACUGUUGGCAUCUAGUCCAGCCAUCAGGGAUCCGAGGCUUCGAGGGCUUAGCCCUGUGCUGCUAUGGGUGCUCAGGUUCUGCAGGCCUGGGGGUGCCCCCAGCACUGCCCCUGGAAGGGAUGGCACAGAACAGACCUGAGCACUUCAUGACCAUUUUGCAGUACGUGUUCUCACCUUGGCCAGGCAGGUCCCAAGCAGUGCCUGCAUGGGAUGCUGGGGCCCUGAGCACCCAUCUGCGUGACAAGGACAGCUGCUGGCCCUGGGGACAAAGACCAGCACUCAAGGAGGCCCACCCCAUCUUUUUUAUGCAAUUUAAGGGAAAAAGUUCUCGAGUGUGAUUGCUGCAAGAAACUCGAAAGAGGUGUGGGAGCAGCGUGAUAUUCUUGGGUUUUGGCAUUCUGAAUUCGUGUCUAUUAAUAAUCCCCUGAGUGAGUCAUAUGGAGAUGCAUUUAUGCACUGAGUCGGAGAGAGCUGCAUCCCGAAAUAGCAGCUCUGUAAUUUUUUAUGAUGCUGUAAUGCCAGCACGGUGCAGAUUGACAUCAUUUAGCAGAGCCGCUGGCUGGCAAUCAGCUCACCCGUGUCAGGCCCUGAAAUAAACACGGGAGCCACGUGCUGUGUUACAUAAACAGCAAAGGAAGCCAUCGCCUGUGGGAAGUGCCUCUUCCCCAUUUCCUACAGCUCUCCCUCCUUUUAUCCCUUAGCAAAAGCAUAAACCCCCAUUGCCCAUUUCCUUAAACUGGAGCACGAGGAGUUACAAGGAGUAACAGUGCCACAUACCCGGCCCUGUGUUUGGCACUCAAAGGUGAAGCCAACUGCCCAGAACAGCCUGACCAGAAUAUUUACAUUUUAUUAAAUCUUUACAAUCAGCAGUUAUAAUCAAGUACACAAUUAUGUACACAGAUUAUAUACAUUUUAGCCCAACCUUUUACAUCACAGUACAUCGUUGCCCUUAG
This 2414-nucleotide long non-coding RNA is filed under the name Gallus gallus (chicken). RNAcentral describes it as "lncRNA (ENSGALG00010014586.1)". Lineage: Eukaryota; Metazoa; Chordata; Aves; Galliformes; Phasianidae. The record is from RNAcentral.